This 292-nucleotide ribosomal RNA is filed under the name uncultured bacterium. Its description in RNAcentral is "partial 16S ribosomal RNA". It matches the Rfam family "Bacterial small subunit ribosomal RNA", at positions 505 to 796 of the family's 1533-position model. The record is from RNAcentral.
GUGUCAGCCGCCGCGGUAAUACGAAGGGGGCUAGCGUUGUUCGGAAUUACUGGGCGUAAAGCGCGCGCAGGCGGUCUUCCAAGUCAGUGGUGAAAGCCCGGAGCUCAACUCCGGAACUGCCAUUGAAACUGUUAGACUUGAGUAUGAGAGAGGUGAGUGGAAUUCCCAGUGUAGAGGUGAAAUUCGUAGAUAUUGGGAAGAACACCGGUGGCGAAGGCGGCUCACUGGCUCAUUACUGACGCUCAGGCGCGACAGCGUGGGGAUCAAACAGGAUUAGAAACCCUAGUAGUCC